CAGUCGAACGACUCUGGUAUUGAUUGGUGCUUGCAUCAUGAUUUACAUUUGAGUGAGUGGCGAACUGGUGAGUAACACGUGGGAAACCUGCCCAGAAGCGGGGGAUAACACCUGGAAACAGAUGCUAAUACCGCAUAACAACUUGGACCGCAUGGUCCGAGUUUGAAAGAUGGCUUCGGCUAUCACUUUUGGAUGGUCCCGCGGCGUAUUAGCUAGAUGGUGGGGUAACGGCUCACCAUGGCAAUGAUACGUAGCCGACCUGAGAGGGUAAUCGGCCACAUUGGGACUGAGACACGGCCCAAACUCCUACGGGAGGCAGCAGUAGGGAAUCUUCCACAAUGGACGAAAGUCUGAUGGAGCAACGCCGCGUGAGUGAAGAAGGGUUUCGGCUCGUAAAACUCUGUUGUUAAAGAAGAACAUAUCUGAGAGUAACUGUUCAGGUAUUGACGGUAUUUAACCAGAAAGCCACGGCUAACUACGUGCCAGCAGCCGCGGUAAUACGUAGGUGGCAAGCGUUGUCCGGAUUUAUUGGGCGUAAAGCGAGCGCAGGCGGUUUUUUAAGUCUGAUGUGAAAGCCUUCGGCUCAACCGAAGAAGUGCAUCGGAAACUGGGAAACUUGAGUGCAGAAGAGGACAGUGGAACUCCAUGUGUAGCGGUGAAAUGCGUAGAUAUAUGGAAGAACACCAGUGGCGAAGGCGGCUGUCUGGUCUGUAACUGACGCUGAGGCUCGAAAGUAUGGGUAGCAAACAGGAUUAGAUACCCUGGUAGUCCAUACCGUAAACGAUGAAUGCUAAGUGUUGGAGGGUUUCCGCCCUUCAGUGCUGCAGCUAACGCAUUAAGCAUUCCGCCUGGGGAGUACGGCCGCAAGGCUGAAACUCAAAGGAAUUGACGGGGGCCCGCACAAGCGGUGGAGCAUGUGGUUUAAUUCGAAGCUACGCGAAGAACCUUACCAGGUCUUGACAUACUAUGCAAAUCUAAGAGAUUAGACGUUCCCUUCGGGGACAUGGAUACAGGUGGUGCAUGGUUGUCGUCAGCUCGUGUCGUGAGAUGUUGGGUUAAGUCCCGCAACGAGCGCAACCCUUAUUAUCAGUUGCCAGCAUUAAGUUGGGCACUCUGGUGAGACUGCCGGUGACAAACCGGAGGAAGGUGGGGAUGACGUCAAAUCAUCAUGCCCCUUAUGACCUGGGCUACACACGUGCUACAAUGGAUGGUACAACGAGUUGCGAACUCGCGAGAGUAAGCUAAUCUCUUAAAGCCAUUCUCAGUUCGGAUUGUAGGCUGCAACUCGCCUACAUGAAGUCGGAAUCGCUAGUAAUCGCGGAUCAGCAUGCCGCGGUGAAUACGUUCCCGGGCCUUGUACACACCGCCCGUCACACCAUGAGAGU
This 1385-nucleotide ribosomal RNA is filed under the name Lactobacillus sp. RNAcentral describes it as "bacterial SSU rRNA". It matches the Rfam family "Bacterial small subunit ribosomal RNA", at positions 59 to 1411 of the family's 1533-position model. The record is from RNAcentral. Lineage: Bacteria; Bacillati; Bacillota; Bacilli; Lactobacillales; Lactobacillaceae.